GCACCCGUAGCUCAGUGGAUUAGAGCACCUGUCUUCGGAACAGGGGGUCGUGAGUUCGAAUCUCUCCGGGUGUACCA
Molecule: transfer RNA, 77 nt
Filed under: Candidatus Saccharimonadota bacterium
Lineage: Bacteria; Candidatus Saccharimonadota
Also listed under: 1 other name
Description: tRNA-Arg
Rfam family: tRNA
About the family: Transfer RNA (tRNA) molecules are approximately 80 nucleotides in length. Their secondary structure includes four short double-helical elements and three loops (D, anti-codon, and T loops).
Source: RNAcentral